CGCUUUUUUCUCGUCGGUCGAUUCAUGCCGAGAACCGAGAUCCGACGCCGGCGUUGCGAUUCCUCGCGUCUGCUCGCCGGCGAUCGCUUCCGCCCUCAGGUUCGUCAGCUGUGAUGAAGGAUUCCAGUUUAGAGCAGGACGACUUGACCUAGCACUCGUGUUCCGAGACGCUUGGUAGGGUUCCUUGACGCUCCUCCAGUUGCUUUGUUUAUGCCGUCGGCUGAUUCGAAAGAGGGUUUUUCCUGUGAGAAUUUUGGAAAGGAUUUUGGGUGAUCUAAGGGUUCCUGAUCCUCAGCUUGACCUAUUUGGAGGUAUGGGUGUGGAAGUGAUUAUCUAGUGGAAUAUUGUGGGUCGUUGGAUUCUGAUGGAGAAUGGGGGUGGACUUUUGCCUUUAUGAACCAAUUUUUUGGUGGGAUUCGGAGAUUCUCUUGUGCCUUUGCAUUCCUAAUAUGAGUGGAUAUAAGUGAGAAGAGGUCCCUCCGAGAGAGGACAGAAGGAUUGUUGAUCUGGAAUGGAAGAAACUCUGCAACAGCUCCACCUGGGCACUGUUGAAAUCCAUUGUUUCCAUUAGUGCUGAGAGCCGAUUGCUGAGGUCGUCGACCUCCUGGUGAAGUUUCUUGAUGCAGUUGCAUGUCUCGUGUAGGAUGUUUUCUGGAGAAGCCUGCAUCAGGCAGCAUCAGUGUGCAAGCACUCACAUGGGCAUACAGUGGUCAUGGCAUUCACAGCUUACAUGGGAUGAAGAGAGACAUGCCCUGCUAGAGUACUACAUUGAAUUCAUGAGGAUCACUCCAGGACUACCCUAAAGGCAAUCUGCUGGUGGAAGAUUUCCAUGAGUGUGAGUGACCGCAGCUAUUUCUCUACUAGAGCUAUAUUAAUUUCAAUGCUCUUGGUCAAGCUACUAAGGUUACUUAAAAAGAUGUAACCAAUUUCAAUGUCUCUGGCCGAGCCACCAACAUAAAAUGAGAAAUAUUGUUUGGUCGGCCUUUGAAAUUGUGGGUUGAGUUCAUGAUCUUGAUCUCAAAUUUUUCAUUGGGCAAUGCACAUGGUCAUAUCUCAUAAUUUCUAGAUC
Long non-coding RNA from Zingiber officinale, 1069 nucleotides. RefSeq lists it as uncharacterized. The transcript is spliced from 4 exons. The record is from RefSeq and is a predicted model, not a curated record. NCBI's taxonomy places the organism in Eukaryota, Viridiplantae, Streptophyta, Magnoliopsida, Zingiberales, Zingiberaceae.